Molecule: ribosomal RNA, 433 nt
Filed under: uncultured bacterium
Lineage: Bacteria
Description: bacterial SSU rRNA
Rfam family: Bacterial small subunit ribosomal RNA
Source: RNAcentral
GAUGAACGCUAGCGGCAGGCUUAACACAUGCAAGUCGAGGGGCAGCAUGACGAAACCUUCGGGUUUGUUGAUGGCGACCGGCGCAAGGGUGCGUAACGCGUGAGCAACUUGCCCUUAUCAGGGGGAUAACCGGUGGAAACGCCGACUAAUACCCCAUAGUAUUGGCUUUAGGCAUCUUUAGUCAAUUAAAGAAUUUCGGAUAAGGNUAGGCUCGCGUGACAUUAGCUAGAUGGCGGGGUAACGGCCCACCAUGGCGACGAUGUCUAGGGGUUCUGGAGAGGAAGGUCCCCCCACACUGGAACUGAGACACGGUCCAGACUCCUACGGGAGGCAGCAGUGAGGAAUAUUGGUCAAUGGUCAGACGACUGAACCAGCCAUGCCGCGUGAAGGUGACGGCCCUAUGGGUCUUAAACUUCUUUUGCAAGGGAGCAAA